This is a non-coding RNA of Daedaleopsis nitida, 90 nucleotides long. Lineage: Eukaryota; Fungi; Basidiomycota; Agaricomycetes; Polyporales; Polyporaceae. The record is from the annotation of a GenBank genome assembly.
GGGCACUUGGCACAGUGGUAGCGCGCACGCUUUGCAUGAUUUAGUUCAAGUGACUGCGUGAGGUCGGGAGUUCAAUCCUCCCAGUGUCCA